RNA transcript from Carya illinoinensis, 2519 nucleotides. RefSeq lists it as uncharacterized. The record is from RefSeq and is a predicted model, not a curated record. Lineage: Eukaryota; Viridiplantae; Streptophyta; Magnoliopsida; Fagales; Juglandaceae. The transcript has 6 exons.
CUUAUUUUCUUAUUCUUUCUUGAAGGAGGUUUCUCUUCCUAAAAGUAUGAAGAGGACUUGUACGGUAAUAACCACACAACCACACAAGUGUGUCGGGGUCCCUAGUGGAAAGAAAACAGUAUGGAACAGUGAUCGCACUGCCGCCCUGGUGCGGCUGGAACUGAGGCUGCUGCUGCGACCUAAUGAAGGAAACAUUGCUGGUAAAGCGGCAUCUGAAGAUUGCCAUCCAUUGUUUGACCGAAAUUCCACAUGGUUGUAUUGGUGUCUCGUUGAGUUUCAUAGUUCAUCUGAAUGUCCGUGUGGCCUUAUUGGUGUCUCCGAAGUUCAAAGUUCAUUGUGCUUCUCAGAACGUUUUGUUCUUUUUAUAGGUGCCAGCUCCAGCAGAGGAGAAAAGGAUUGCUGCUUGCCUGAUUGGGGAGCUGAUUUUGUACCUGAUGACGUCCUUGGCCAAAAAAGACUUACUGAGGCCUUUUGAAAGCCUGUGCGCGUUCUAUGACCAGGAGGAUCAAAGGAAGAAGGAAGAAAAGAACAAAGAAAUCGCAAAUAUAAUGUCAGAUGGAAUGAUGAAGAAAGACCUCUAUUAUAGUACUAUCAAGCGAUCACAUGUGAAGUCCUUGUCUGGUUAAUCUUUUCAAUUAGCGAUCUCUGAAUUGAUUGCAAUUAGUCCAUUCGGGACAUACUUUUACAUUCUGAGAUGACAACAUGUAGAAUGAACAAGAUGCAUAAUGAAGAUCCCAGGAAUGCUUUUCUGCACUAAUCUUGAUUUUUAUUUGGUCUUUAAGCUGGAUUCUACCAGCCUGGAACACUUACAUCUAUGAUUUUGUCAAACGAGUAAAAUGCACGUGUUUUACUCAAAAUCUAGCUCCCACUUUUUCCCCAAAUCAGUUUCUUUGAAUUUCAAUCCAGACCUUCUCCCUCUAACUUCACCUCACCCCUCCCGCUUGGUUCCCUUUGCUCGGUUGCUGUCUGCCGCCUGCCGUCUACCAUCUGCAUUCGAGGUCACCGAGUUCAUUCUGCGAGGUACUUCUGUAAGCCAAGUUUAUAUUUUUGAGGCCGUGUGAAAAAUAUUUCGUUACUUCAUAAGAAAUGUCUAGGAAUGAUUUGACACCACAUGGAUUUUGCUAUUUUUGGUGGCAAAUAUUUCCUCGACCUGGGCUUUUCCAAACAAACAGAUGCUAACUUUGUUCCUUCAAACUUGAGAGAUAUCUUUUCUUCACAAAAGGUUUCUAUAUCUAGGAGAUCUUGACGAAUGAUUAUGUUUUUCAGUUAAUUUUUGUGACCUGUGAUUAAUUUAGGAUUAAACUAUUUAUUUCCCUCAAGUCCGACAGUCUGGUUUUGAUAAUGCUCGAAUAGAUUAAGGUACCUAAUUAAUUCCUUGCCACCCAUCCAAAUUAGUUUGAAAUGAGUACUUUCGUAUAGGCAGGCAUGCAUUUGUGGAAGUGAGUAUAUCAUAGAAUUUUGUGAGAGGUAUGUGUUUUCUUAGUUUUUUUGGAAAGUAAUUAUUCUGGUGGUUAUUUAAAUGUAACUUGAAGGUAUGAUUACAUUUAAAGAAUGAUGAAAGGUUUCCUGAAUUUAAAUGGGAGAAAAGGGCCAGGCGCUAGCUAGAAAUAUUGCAAUUUGGCAUGAUAUAGUGAAUGCUACACCUUCGAAAUUCACACUUCCCUUGACACUCAUUCCAAUUGCAAGCAAAAAGUAAAAUUCUCAUCUUAUACUGAACUUUUGCCCAGCUAAAUGCAUUGGAUUUGAUUGGCUCAUCAAAUGGAAGAGAAAGAAAAGUUGAAGUUGCUAGCCAUCAGAUUCCAAUGCUUCUCCCUAAUCCCAAGUACUCAUCAAGGCAAACUGUUUAAUUUCUAAUGCUUUAAAUUAAGAGAAUAGUUGUAUGUGGUUAUAAACUAAUUAGAUAGAUAUGACCCUCGAGCUUGGCAUCUAUCCAAUUGAGACAUGGAUGGACCCUAUAUUAAUUAUUUAGUCUAGUUGUAUGUGGAGUUGCGUUUUUGUGAUGCAUGUAUUAAUUAUUUAGUCUAACUUUAUGGUGAUCAUCUUUUAAAACUUGUUAAAUUGUGAGUGUCAAAUGUAACUGUAGUUAGUUUGAAGAAGUUUGCUUUAACUUAAUUUAUUUCUUGUAAUGUCGAUCUAAAAACUCAAUUGAAAUAGCGUGAUGAACAAAGAGGAAGAUAAAAGGCCACCCAGGCGUUCUACCCCAAUUCCACCGGCUCAGGGAUAUUAUGGACCAGAAAAUGCUUACUAUCCACAAUUUAUGAUGCAUCCCAAGUUGUUGGUGCUAACGUUGAAGAUGUUGUUAUUGGAACCCAAUGCAGUACUGUCACACAACAAACGGGCAAUGAUAAGAUGUGAAAUUGUGGGUUGAAAAUCAUUAUUCUAUUUUGAUGGAUUUCUUGAAGUAUUUUGUGAAAAUUUGGAUACUUUUUUUUGGAGGUUAUGGUUGUAAAUAAUGUACAGAUUUCUUGGUGUUAUUCUUGUAUGAAAAUCAUUGUUCUAUUUUUUAUGGCUUUCUUGAA